UAGUCAUACGCUCGUCUCAAAGAUUAAGCCAUGCAUGUGUAAGUAUAAAUAAUUUUACUUUGAAACUGCGAAUGGCUCAUUAUAUCAGUUAUAGUUUAUUAGAAAUAUUUUACUACUUGGAUAACCGUAGUAAUUCUAGGGCUAAUACAUGAGUAAAACCUCAACUUCGGAAGAGGUGUGUUUAUUAGUAUGAAAACCAUAUAUCUUCGGAUAUAAUAGUGAGUAAUAAUAACCUUUCAUAUCGUAUGUCGUAAGAUAACGAUAGUUCUUUCAAGUUUCUGCCCUAUCAGCUUUCGAUGGUAGUAUAUGGGACUACCAUGGCAGUAACGGGUAACGAAGAAUUUGGGUUCGAUUUCGGAGAGGGAGCCUGAGAGAUGGCUACCACAUCCAAGGAAGGCAGCAGGCGCGUAAAUUACCCAAUCCUGACAUAGGGAGGUAGUGACAAUAAAUCACAAUGCGGAACUUUUAGU
RNAcentral lists this ribosomal RNA (470 nucleotides) under Blastocystis sp. RNAcentral describes it as "SSU rRNA". It matches the Rfam family "Eukaryotic small subunit ribosomal RNA", at positions 21 to 498 of the family's 1831-position model. The record is from RNAcentral. Lineage: Eukaryota; Bigyra; Opalinata; Blastocystidae.